UGGUGUUGUAUGUACGUCAAUUGGGAUUGACUCAUAACAAUACAUUUAGAAGGGUAUAAAAUGAGAACAAUCUCAUUGUACUGACAUUAGACAUCCUGUGAACGAGAAGUACAGACGUGUCAACAGUCAAUAGUCAUGAAGCUCCUGUGCUUGUUCGUGCUUGUGGUGCUGACUGUCGCUGUGUGUGCUGCACAGCCAGUUGAAGAUCUCGGCAUCGACUACCCAGAUCCUUCACACAUAAGGGUCAAGAGGCAACAUUUUAUAGGAAAAAGCAAAUGUUAUUGUCCAGAAGAUUACGUUUACGUUUUUUCACAAUGUGUUCCAUGUAAAAAAUAUUUGAUAGCAACAGGAGAGGAAGAGUGUCCCGUUUGUGCCGACUAACUAAACGAAUACACCAACAUUCGUGUAUAAGACAUACACACACAUAGUAACACCAGCUAGCAGCUAUUAUGUUGGGUGUAUGAACGGAUUAUGAAACAAGAUUUACGUAGCAAUAUGAAAAUAAGGAUAAUGUAUGCCGAUGUAAAGGACAUGGCUAAACCAAAGUAUGGACGUCGUAACCCGUACAAAUAAAUAUUGUAUAAAUAUGGUACCUAGCAAUAAAUAAAGCCGCAUAAUUAAAGAUUGAUAUUUUGUAGUUAAGAAGGUCCAGAAACUUGGCAUAUCUGCGCAAUCCUGAAAAUAAAGUAGCGCUCCUACGUCAAACAACGUUACAAAAACUUCAAAAUAUAACAUUGCUCUGAACUUUUACCAAGGCGUUUUGAUGAACCAGAGCCGAAAGUUAUUUAUAUAUGAGGUAGAUAGGUAAACAAUUCUGCUUAUACUAGAUAAUGAACACAAAGUAACCAAGGACAGACACAAAAUAUAUAGUAAGAUUGUGCAAUCUUAUACAAAAUAUUUAUUUUGUGUCGAUCAAAACAUUUACAAUUAUUUGGUUUCAGAAAAAAGUCAUUAUAUUACCGUUAUUAAAAAUUGAUGUUCGUUUAAUUAUUUCGAUUUGAUUUUCGGGGAAACUAAUGUCCUAAUAAUAGCUUGCAGUACCUACUUCCGUGUUGUCAUGUCAAACCACAACAGAAAAAAAUCAAUUAUGAAACUUA
Spodoptera frugiperda (fall armyworm) is the source of this 1097-nucleotide long non-coding RNA. RefSeq lists it as uncharacterized. The transcript has 2 exons. The record is from RefSeq and is a predicted model, not a curated record. NCBI's taxonomy places the organism in Eukaryota, Metazoa, Arthropoda, Insecta, Lepidoptera, Noctuidae.